RNAcentral lists this small RNA (568 nucleotides) under Pongo abelii (Sumatran orangutan). Its description in RNAcentral is "retained intron". Lineage: Eukaryota; Metazoa; Chordata; Mammalia; Primates; Hominidae. The record is from RNAcentral.
AUUUCUUUUGUCAAGGUAGUUUUAUUUUCUAGUUCAGGUACGUCAGUGAGUCAUAGUAGAGAUACAUUCUUGGCUGUUUUAGGGGAGUUAAGAGAACAUUUCAUUUAAAUGUAAAUGUUUAAAAUCAAAGAAAUGUUCCUGCAUAUGUACAGUUUUUACCUUUAAUCUUGUUUAACUGAUUUUUCUAGUCUUCAAGGAAAACUAUUUGAUUUUCACAUCUAUGAUGAGAGAAAACAGAAAAAUUGUCAAGAGUAAGAAUUGAUUUGACAUUACUUUUGAGAGUUAUCUGCUUCUUUUGUAAGUCAUAAUUUUUCAUUUUAUAGCUUUUAUACUGGGCACCUCAUUUUUUAACGGUUUGUUUUGGUUCCAGGAUGUUGCCUUCCUGGAGAAACUGAUUAAAGAUGAUAUAGAGCGAGGAAGACUGCCCCUGUUGCUUGUCGCAAAUGCAGGAACGGCAGCAGUAGGACACACAGACAAGAUUGGGAGAUUGAAAGAACUCUGUGAGCAGUAUGGCAUAUGGCUUCAUGUGGAGGGUGUGAAUCUGGCAACAUUGGCUCUGGGUUAUGUC